GGAAGGAUCAUUAACGAAUUGUAUGGUCUGGGUUGUCGCUGGCUCUCUCUGGGAGCAUGUGCACGCCUGGUCCAAACUCUUCAUUCCUUAACCUCCUGUGCACCUUUUGUGGACUGCAGAUGGAUAACUGUCGAGGUAACACUCGGUUUUGCAGAUUGCGCCUUACCCGCGCUUUCAGCUCCAUCUGCCUGCAGUUCAUGUCUUUACUACAUACCAUUUAAUAAAACCUAGAAUGCUUAACAGUUGGGACUUUAGUGACCCUUCUUAAACUUUGUACAACUUUCAACAACGGAUCUCUUGGCUCUCGCAUCGAUGAAGAACGCAGCGAAAUGCGAUAAGUAAUGUGAAUUGCAGAUUUCAGUGAAUCAUCGAAUCUUUGAACGCACCUUGCGCCCUGUGGUAUUCUGCAGGGCAUGCCCGUUUGAGUGUUAUUAAAUCAUCAACUCCUAACAUCUUGUGUGUUCAGGUGCUUGGUCAUGAGGGUCUUGCAGGCGCUCUGCCGUCUGCUCCCUUUAAAUCUAUUAGUGAGACUUCCCUUUGCUGACUGUCUCUUGGCGUGAUAGUUAUCUACGUCAAAUUGGACUGGUCUCGUUGGGCUUGCUUCUAAUCGUCUUCGGACAAUCGAUUUGGGGUGCAUAUAUGCACUUCUUUUCAAACCUUUUUAACCUCAAAUCGGGUAGGACUACCCGCUGAACUUAAGCAUAUCAAUAAGCGGAGGAAAAGAAACUAACAAGGAUUCCCCUAGUAACUGCGAGUGAAGAGGGAAAAGCUCAAAUUUAAAAUCUGGCGGUCUUUGGCUGUCCGAGUUGUAAUUUAGAGAAGCGUCACCCGCGCUGGACCGUGUACAAGUCUCCUCGAACGGAGCAUCAUAGAGGGUGAGAAUCCCGUCCAUGACACGGACUACCAGGGCUUUGUGGUGCGCUCUCGACGAGUCGAGUUGUUUGGGAAUGCAGCUCAAAAUGGGUGGUAAAUUCCAUCUAAAGCUAAAUAUAGGCGAGAGACCGAUAGCGAACAAGUACCGUGAGGGAAAGAUGAAAAGAACUUUGGAAAGAGAGUUAAACAGUACGUGAAAUUGUUGAAAGGGAAACGCUUGAAGUCAGUCGCGUCCUUCAGAGAUCAACCUGGCCUUUUCGCUUGGUGCACUCUUUGGAGGACGGGUCAGCAUCAGUUUCGACCGGGGGAAAAAGUUGGUGGGGAUGUGGCACCUUCGGGUGUGUUAUAACCCACUUGCAUAUAUCCUGGUUGGGACUGAGGAACGCAGCACGCCUUAAGGCCGGACUUUUGUUACGUACGUGCUUAGGAUGCUGGCAUAAUGGCUUCAAUCGACCCGUCUUGAAACACGGACCAAGGAGUCUAACAUGCACGCGAGUGUUUGGGUGUAAAACCCGAGCGCGUAAUGAAAGUGAAAGUUGGGACCUCUGUCGUGGAGGGCACCGACGCCCGUACCAGAUGUUUUCGGACGGUUACGAGGUAGAGCGUGUACGUUGGGACCCGAAAGAUGGUGAACUAUGCCUGAAUAGGGUGAAGCCAGAGGAAACUCUGGUGGAGGCUCGUAGCGAUUCUGACGUGCAAAUCGAUCGUCGAAUUUGGGUAUAGGGGCGAAAGACUAAUCGAACCAUCUAGUAGCUGGUUCCUGC
This 1637-nucleotide unclassified non-coding RNA is filed under the name uncultured fungus. Its description in RNAcentral is "sequence contains 18S rRNA gene, ITS1, 5.8S rRNA gene, ITS2, 28S rRNA gene". The stretch from base 663 to 1637 matches the Rfam family "Eukaryotic large subunit ribosomal RNA", at positions 1 to 961 of the family's 3401-position model. Lineage: Eukaryota; Fungi. The record is from RNAcentral.